Vicia faba (fava bean) is the source of this 399-nucleotide non-coding RNA. NCBI's taxonomy places the organism in Eukaryota, Viridiplantae, Streptophyta, Magnoliopsida, Fabales, Fabaceae. The record is from the annotation of a GenBank genome assembly.
AUGAGGCUUAGGGUUCAAAAUACUGAGACUCUCCAUCUUCGCGAUAAACACAAAACGAACUUUUCCUCUCUUUUCUUUCAAAGAAUGGAGGCAUUAUCUUCCUCUGCCCUUUCCGAUCUAAAACAUUGUUGCUACAGCCAUCGUCUUCAUUGCAACGCAUCGCCUCCAUUUAUGUCGUCCUCAUCUUCAUCUACCUCACGACCUCGUCCUAAUCCGCUCCGUCGUGCUUUGGGUUUCGCUCAUCCUGUCCUCAAGCCUCCGUCUCUGUUCGAAUCAAUGUUAGAACAGUACAAAGGCUUCAAUCGAAGCUCCGACCGAAACUACAACUUAGGGAUUCACGAUUUAGCAACGACGACGAGAAUUCAAGGAAGAAACAAAAUCGAAGCAAAUUCAAGCUAG